GGGGGUGUACUGGCUUCGAUCUGGGCGUUCAUCGCUCGGGAGAAGCGGGCCGUGAUCCCGGAUGUCACGUUAAACGCCGGACAACACACAAGCGCCAACGAAGAGUACGCGCUCGCUGCCUAAGCGGUAGCCGUCCCCCCCGGGGCGCCUGCGACCGGGGGAUGGGCGUCGUGAGCAGGCUCACUCCGCCGGUUCGGCCUCGGGGCCGGCGGGGAACAUCGCACCGAGGCUGGCCGAAGGGAACUCUGCCGGUGGGAGCCCCGAGGCGAGAUCUCCCCACCUGGCUGCGCCCGGAGAAGUCCCGAGUGGUCGCCGAGAGACGCGGGUUCGAAUCCCGCCACCUCCACCA
RNAcentral lists this small RNA (349 nucleotides) under Actinomycetota bacterium. RNAcentral describes it as "transfer-messenger RNA". It matches the Rfam family "transfer-messenger RNA". From Rfam's summary of the family: Bacterial tmRNA, also known as 10Sa RNA or SsrA, is named for its dual tRNA and mRNA-like properties. Its role is to liberate the mRNA from a stalled ribosome. To accomplish this part of the tmRNA is used as a reading frame that ends in a translation stop signal. Lineage: Bacteria; Bacillati; Actinomycetota. The record is from RNAcentral.